This 343-nucleotide unclassified non-coding RNA is filed under the name uncultured Mortierella. RNAcentral describes it as "sequence contains ITS2". The record is from RNAcentral. Lineage: Eukaryota; Fungi; Mortierellomycota; Mortierellomycetes; Mortierellales; Mortierellaceae.
AACGCAUAUUGCGCUCUUUGGUAUUCCGAAGAGCAUGCUUGUUUGAGUAUCAGUAAACACCUCAAAGCUUUUGAUUUUUUUUUGAAAGCUUUGGACUUGAGCAAUCCCAACACCAGUCUUUUUUAGAUCGGAGGCGGGUUGCUUGAAAUGCAGGUGCAGCUGGACAUUCUCCUGAGCUAAAAGCAUAUUCAUUUAGUCCCGUCAAACGGAUUAUUACUUUUGCUGCAGCUAACAUAAAGGGAGUUUGACCGUAUUGGCUGACUGAUGCAGGAUUUCACAGGGGUCGGCAACGACGCUUGUUAAACUCGAUCUCAAAUCAAGUAAGACUACCCGCUGAACUUAA